UUCUGGCCACCCCACAAGCAAAACCUUCCACCAGGACCCAAACCAGGGCUGAUCAUAAGAAACCUAAACCUCAUUGGCCAUCUCCCCCACCGGUCCCUCCACAAAGUGUCCCAAAAAUAUGGACAAAUAAUGCAAGCUUCAAUUCGGGUCUAUCCCAAUGGUAGUGGCCUUGUCUUCAGAAAUGGCAAGGCAGUUCUUAAAGACAAAUUAUCACCUCUUUGCCUCUAGGCCUCAGACUGCUGCUGGCAAGUACACUGCUUAUAACUAUUCCAACAUCAUCUGGGCACCUUUCGGUCCAUAUUGGCGUCAGGAGAGUAAAAUCUACCACACAGAGCUGUUCAACUGGAAAAAGCUCGAGUCUUAUGAAUAUAUUGGGGUCGAAGGAAGGUGGGCUUUCAUCUCCCACCUCUAUGCGUUGUCAGGAAAGCCAGUCAUGCUUAAAGACCAUCUCUCUCGCGUUACUCUCGGCGUUAUAAGCAGAAUUGUACUGCGGGAGAAGUAUUCAAUGAGUCUGAAUCCGGGAGGUCAAUAGUGACGGUGGAAGAGUUCCAAGAGAUGCUGGAUGGGUUGUUCUUGCUUAAUGGUGUGUUGAAUAUUAGGGAUUGGAUACCGCGGAUUGCAUUCUUGGACUUGCAGGGGUAUGUGAAGAGGAUGAAGGCUUUGCGCCAUAAAUUUGAUAGGUUUUAUGAUCAUGUGCUUGAGAAACACAGGGCCAGUUGAGAAGCAGAGGACUUUGUGGCUAAGGAUAUGGUGGAUAUGCUUCUGAGAUUGGUCGAUGAUCCUGAUCUUGAGGUUAAGCUCGGUACUGAUGGGGUCAAAGGGCUUACCCUGGUUAAUGUUAUAUGAGUUAGGAACAUAUCCAGCCAUUCAAAUUAGGCCUAUUCUAUUGAAAUCUCAUGAUAAUUUUGCUUGUUUGGUUGUUUCAUGGUCAGGACCUGAUUGCUGGUGGUACAGAUAGCUCAGCUACUACUAUGGAAUGGGCGAUGUCUGAGAUCUUGAGGUAGCCAAGCACAGCUAAUAAGGCAACUGAAGAGCUGGAUAGAGUCACAGGGAGAGAUAGAUGGGGGGAAGAGAAAGACAUCCCCCAACUUCCUUAAUAUAGAUGCAAUUGUGAAGGAGACAAUGAGGCUACACCCUGUCACUAGCUGUCCUGCUAGCACCUCACCUGGCUCUUCAUGAUUGCAAUGUAGCUGGCUGUGAUAUUCGCAGAGGAACCCAAGUCCUUGUAAACGCAUGGAGCAUAGGACCCCAACAUAUGGGAUGCACCGGAGGAAUUUCGACCAGAGAGGUUCCUAGGGAAGGCAAUUGAUGUGAAGGGGCAAAACUUGAGCUGCUGCCAUUUGGUUCAAGGCGGAGGAUGUGUGCUGGAUACAGGCUUGGCCUAAAGAUGAUUCGAUCAAGCUUGACUAACAUGCUGCAUGGAUUCCACUGGAAAUUGCCUUGGGAUAUGAAGACAGAAGAGCUGAACAUGGAGGAAGGUCCCGCUUGUUGCUGUCAUGGAGCCUAGACUUCCAAGUCAUCUUUACUAGUCGUGCCUUAGACCUAUGUUUUCUUAAUCUUAUUCAGGUUUGUGCUGUGGUUUUACUGAGGUUCUGGCGUAAAGCGGUUUCUGAAUAAAUGGUUUGGGAUUUUGGUGACCUGAUCUUAAGCCUAUGGCCUUGAUGGGAACUUUCUUUUUUCGGUUCCUUCUGUGCUUCUCCUCCUUCCUUUAUCUCCUCCUUAUGCAAGUCAUUUUCACUUUGGACUGUGUACAUAAAGGGCCCAAUAGGAAUAUCUUGGUAGUCCUGGAGAGGCUCCAGGGUCUUAACCACAGUGCUCAUUGUUGGUCUAUGCUUUGGCAUGUGGCUCAUGCACCAGUAAGCCAAUGCAGCAGCCUUUUGAGCCCCUGCUUCUGAGUAUUGGCCUUCAACUCUUGGAUCCAUUAUUCUGGUGAGCUUCCUGGAAUAGUUCAGUUGAGGCCUAGCCCAUUCUGCUAGGUUCUUCUCCCUGUUAGGCCUGGUCUUGUCCAUUGAUCUUCUCCCAGUUAGUAGCUUCAAGAGCACCACUCCAAAGCUGUAAACAUCGCUCAUUGCUGUCAAAUGCCCUGCAAACAAGCAAACUUCUUAUUUGUACUCCAAAGGAAUAUGCCCUUAACAUUCAAUCUAGAUUGGAUUAAACCUUACUGAAUUUCCUGUGAUAAUGUACUCUGGAGCAGCUUACCCUUGUGUCCCCAUGACUCGGGUUGAAACAUGCGUGUCAUCGCCUUCAGGGCCGUCUUUUGCUAAACCAAAAUCUUAUAAUUUGGGAGUAUGAUCCUGAAAAAGGUAUCAACAAAAGGUCAGCGAUCAUAAACAAAGCCAACAAUAAUGCUGAAGUGGAUGAAUUAGAACUCGCCACAGGUAACAGUAUGAUCCCCAUUUUAUAGGCAGCAUGAUACCCAUUUUAUAGCUAACAUGGGAAUUCGUGUUGUUAGGAAUUGGAAGGAACACGAAAGAAAAUCAUCAUUAAUAAGAUUCCUUCUAUUAUUAGCCUGUCAAUGAAACUAAGACAUGUUAUAAGAUCAUAGAUUGUUAGCCCUUGGGGGCUGUCUAACUAUGUUUUGAUGAUAACAACAUAAGAUGAAGUGUACUGAGUUGUUUGAAUUAAGAAAAGUUUCAAGUUUUAUUGAAAAUUUCAAAAGAAAGAUAAAGAUUGUCUAAAAAAAGAUUUGAAGGACACGAAAAAAUGAAUCCUUAAAGAUUUAUAAGGUUUAAGAAAUUUUGUAAGAUGAAUCUCUUGCAUGUGUUUAGGAUUAAACUGAUUUUUAUACACUUUUAAUGCAUUCAUUUAGAUUUAGGCGACAUUUGUUUUUUUAACUUUUUACUGAAAGCAAAUUGCUUUCAGAUUUCAAAUUGUUUAUUUCUUCACUUUUUGUUAAUUUAUUAUUUAUUUAAAAAAAAAUUUUAUUGAAUAGAAAAAGAUAAAAUAUUUGAUUUUUUUUUUUAAAGUUAAAAAUAACAUUGGUUUUUGUUUAUUUUUUAAUACUUAAUAAAAAUGAAAUAUUAAAAAACAAACAACUUGAGUGCAAUUGAAAUCCCAUAUCAAUAUUAAGAUCAAUUUUAAUAAUAUUUAUAAUGUCCAUAUAAUUUUAAAACAUAUUUAUACAAUAAAAAAUGGCCUACUAUAUAUAAUAUGUUAGGAAAAGAAAAUUUUUCUCCACAGAAGUCGAGUUUUACAAAAUCCUACCACAAGUCAAUAAAAAAAGAAAAAUGUUUGACGUAAGUUGAGAUUAGAGUUUGAAAUUACAAGUAAUGCAAGUGUAAAGUUUUCAUUAUGCAUGUUUGUGCAAUUUUCCUUAAAUCUUGAAAGUCACGGAUAACAAAAUAUGACCAUAAUCCACCAAUUCAUACACUAAAAAAUAUCUUCUAUAGAGGGAAUAGUCCUGAACCAUAAAAAAUAUAGAGACAGGCCGGCCAUGGGGUGGGUUCAAUUAUUAUUGAGAUCGCUCAUGGGGUGAAACAAUUUUAUUCUAUGCAACUUGAUUAUUGAGAUGGUGAUGGGGAUAAAAGAAGGUCCACCCUUAAUGUCAGGACAAAGAAGCAUGUUGCCCAUGAUUUUCUGAAAAGCUAAACAUAUUCUAAACAGUACUUCUUGCAAGCCCAAAGACACCAAAGUAGUGCAUCAGAAGAGCUUGGAAAGAGGUGUUGGGUGCUAGGUCAAUUUUUCGAAUAGAUCAAAAGAAAGCUAAAGAUUGUCUAAAAAAGAUUUGAAGGACACCAAAGGAUGAAUCCUUAAAGAUUUAUAAGGUCUAAGAAAUUUUGUAAGAUGAAUCUCUUGCGUGUAUUUAAUAUUAAAUUGAUUUUCAUACAUUUUUAAUGUAUUCAUUUAGACUUAGUUGACGCUUGUUUUUUUAACUUUUUGUUGAAAGCAAAUUACUUUUAGAUUUUAAAUCAUUUAUUUCUUAAAUUUUUUUAUUAAAUAGAAAAUAAUAAAAUAUUUGAUUUUUUCUUAAAGUUAAAAAUAAUAUAUUAGUUUUUAUUUACUUUUUAAUACUUAAUAGAAAUGAAAUAUUUAAAAACAAACAACUUGAGUGCAAUUGAAAUCUCGUAUCAAUAUUAAGAUCAAUUUUAAUACCAUUUAUAAUGUCCAUAUAAUUUUAAAACAUAUUUAUACAAUAAAAAAUGGCAUACUAUAUAUAAUAUGUUAGGAAGAGAAAAUUUUUCUCCAUAGAAGUUGAGUUUCACAAAAUCCUACCACAAGUCAAUAAAAAAAGAAAAAUGUUUGACAUAAGUUGGGAUCAGAGUUUGAAAUUAUAAGUGAUGCAAGUGUAAAGUUUUCAUUAUGCAUGUUUGUACAAUUUUCCUUAAAUCUUGAAAGUUACGGAUAACAAAAUAUGACCAUAAGCCAACAAUUCAUGCACUAAAAAAUAUCUUCUAUAGAGGGAAUAGUCUUGAACCAUAAAAAAUAUAGAGACAGGGCGGACAUGGGCUGGGUUCAAUUAUUAUUGAGAUCGCAGAUGGGAUGAAGCAGUUGUAUUCUAUGCAAACUUGAUUAUUGAGAUGGUGAUGGGGAUAAAAGAAGAUCCACCCUUAAUGUCACGACAAAGGCAUAUUCCAAACAAUACUUCUUGCAAGCCCAAAGACACCAAAGUAGUGCAUCAGAAGAACUUGGAAAGAGGUGUUGGGUGCUAGGUCAAUUUUUCGAAUAGAUUGAAGUAAAAUGUUUGUUUAUGAAAAUUUUUUAAAUACGAAUUGAUAAUGUGAAAGGUACAGUAUUGUUUUAUAUUUAAAUUGAAAGUGUCAAUUUUUUGUUUUUUCUGAUCUCCAUGCAUUACAUAACUCCAUCAGAAAUUCCCGGGGUGAGUAAUAGGAUUUGACGAUAGACUUAAAAAGUCAUCUAUAGACACUUUAUACGUAAUCAUUCUAGAUAACACUUGUAUUCUCUGUAUUACCUGAUAUAAAGUUAAUAGAUGCUCAUUCCUAUAUAUAUAAUGAUAUCUCAAAAGAUUUAAUUUUUUAUUAUAUUUAAUUCUUUUUAUUUUUCUUUAUUGAGUUAUCGAAUUGACUUUAUUUAUUAUUCCACUUUUUAAGAACAAGUGAUAUUGAUGUAAAAGGAUCGGGAUAGAAAUGAUAUUUUGAUUAGAAGCAACUUUGGAAUUGAUUAUUUAGGAUUAUUGACUUAAAGACUAAUGUCAUUUAUAACUUCUACAAUUUUUUAUUUAAAUGUUAUUAUUGAGCUAUUUUAAUUAGUUUUGAAUUUAUUGGUAAUGUAUUAAGCUCUGACAUGUGAAAUGAGUCUGGUACCUUUAGCUUUUGCGUUGGAGACUUUCUAUUGGGUAGGCUUGGCCGAAGUCCCACUCUCAAAUCACUACCAUAAAAGUUGUUUCCUUGUUAGGAGAAAUGUCCAAGAAAAUUGCAGACUGAGGCCCCAUGAACGAGAAAGGAGGUCAAUUAUUGAAGCACUCAUUCAUUUAGUUCUGCUGUGCAACUUCUGUUUAUGCAUCAUCUUUAUAUAAAAGGUUUCAUGGGAGGGCCAAGAGGAGAUACAUAUGAUCAGGCAUGAUAAAAGCAUGGUGUUCCCAUACACUUUAACAUGAUAAACAGGGCAAGGAUUAAUGAGCAUUCUUGUAGUCAUAACAUCAAGAAAUAUCCCCCAAUUGAAAGAGACUAAGGUAGUAUUUAGUUUUUUAACUUAAUACUCAAUGUAAUUUACUUUCAAAAUUUUUAAAUAGAAAAAACAAAAAUAUUUAAUAAUAAUAAAAUAAUAAAAAAUAAAUGAUUUAAUAUUUAAUAGUAUUAAGUUAAAUAAAAUUCCAUUUAAAUUUAAGUAAAAAAGCCAAACACGAAAGUAUUAAACUAUAGUAUCCAAUAUUAGCCUUGGCCAUUAGUUGAGAAGGUUGCUGUUCUCCUCCAUGGAUGCAAUGACAGAUUCUUCUGUGUUAAAUUUAUAAAUGUUUUCUCUCUGCUUUUGUGUCAUCUUGGUGGACACUGGAAGAUCAAGCCAUUUAAGUAAGACAUUUUUAUUGGGUUUUGGUGAGUGAAUGAUAUCUCUGAGUGAUACACCUUUUUUAUUUUUAUUUUUAGCUUUUACCUUAUGUUUAAUUCCUCGAAACUAAGAAGGAAAGCAAUUUUUUUUUUAAAUUAUCUUCUCAUAUUAAUUAUUCUAUAUAAAAUAGGAAAAAAAUCAAAUAUAAUUAAAAUUAAUUAAAAAUUUAUAUAUUUUCAAAUUAUUUAAUCUUAUUUGAAAAGAAUUAAAAAAAAAUAAAAUGAAUUGAAAAUAACAUAUAAAAAUAAUUUAUUAAUAUUAAAUAUAUUUUUAUUUUUUAUUUCCUUCCAUUUUUCUUCUUUACUUUCUUUUUCCCUUCCAAUCAAACAUAAUGUUUUAAGUGUUUAAUAAAAUAUUUAAACUCUUGUAAAUGGUUGAAUAGUACUACCAAAAUGUGAUUCACAUGAGUUCAAUAUAUGCUUUCCACCAGCUUAUUUGCUUAUAAAUAGUCCCCCGUUCCUCAAACUUUCACCACCAUUAAUGGAGGCUCCUUCUUGGGUUGUUUUGGCCCUAGCAUGGCUAGCCUCAGUAGCCCUUCUCUCAAAAGUUUUCAGUUUCCGGCCACCCCACAAGCAAAACCUUCCACCAGGUCCCACACCAUGGCCGAUCAUCGGCAACCUAAACCUCAUUGGCCAUCUCCCCCACCGGUCCCUCCACAAACUGUCCCAAAAAUAUGGACAAAUAAUGGAGCUUCGAUUUGGGUCUUUCCCAGUUGUAGUGGCCUCAUCUUCAGAAAUGGCAAAGCAGUUCUUAAAGACAAACGAUCACCUCUUUGCCUCCAGGCCUCACACUGCUGCCGGCAAGUACAUUACUUAUAACUACUCCAACAUCACCUGGGCUCCUUACGGUCCAUACUGGCGCCAAGGGCGUAAAAUCUUCCUCACAGAGCUGUUCAGCUCGAAAAGGCUCGCGUCUUAUGAGUACAUUCGGGUUGAAGAAAGGCAGGCUUUCAUCUCCCGCCUCUACGCAUUGUCAGGAAAGCCAGUCAUGCUUAAAGAACAUCUCUCUCGCGUUACUCUCGGCGUUAUAAGCAGAAUUGUACUGGGGGAGAAGUACUUCAGUGAGUUCGAAUCCGGGAGGUCGAUGUUGACGGUGGAAGAGUGUCAGAAGAUGCUGGGUGAGUUGUUCUUGCUUAAUGGUGUGUUGAAUAUUGGGGAUUGGAUACCGUGGAUUGCAUUCUUGGACUUGCAGGGGUAUGUGAAGAGGAUGAAGGCUUUGCGCGAUAAAUUUGAUAGGUUUUAUGAUCAUGUGCUUGAGAAACACAGGGCCAGAAGAGAAGCAGAGGACUUUGUGGCUAAGGACAUGGUGGAUAUGCUUCUGAGAUUGGCUGAUGAUCCUGAUGUUGAGGUUAAGCUCACUACUGAUGGGAUCAAAGGGUUUACACAGGUUAGUGUUAUUUGAGUUCAUGAACAUAUCCAACCAUUCAAAUUAGGCCUGUUCUAUUGAAACCUCAUGAUAAUUUUGCUUGUUUUGUUGUUUCAUGGUCAGGACCUAAUAGCUGGUGGUACAGAUACCUCAGCUACUACUCUGGAAUGGGCGAUGUCCGAGGUCUUGAGGCAGCCAAACAUAGCUAAAAAGGCAACUGAAGAGCUGGAUAGAGUUAUAGGGAGAGAUAGAUGGGUGGAGGAGAAAGACAUUGCCCAACUUCCUUACAUAGAUGCAAUUGUGAAGGAGACAAUGAGGCUACACCCUAUUGUUGUCCUGCUGGCACCUCACCUGGCUCUUCAAGAUUGCAAUGUAGCUGGCUAUGAUAUUCGCAGAGGAACCCGAGUCCUAGUAAACACAUGGAGCAUAGGGAGGGACCCCAACAUAUGGGAUGCACCCGAGGAAUUUCGACCAGAGAGGUUCCUAGGGAAGGCAAUUGAUGUGAAGGGACAAAGCUUUGAGCUGCUGCCAUUUGGUUCAGGGCGGAGGAUGUGCCCUGGAUACAGCCUUGGCCUAAAGAUGAUUCAAUCGAGCUUGGCUAACAUGUUGCAUGGAUUCCACUGGAAAUUGCCUUGGGAUAUGAAGACAGAAGAGCUGAACAUGGAGGAAGUUUUUGGACUGACAACUCCAAGGAAGGUCCCACUUGUUGCUGUCAUGGAGCCUAGACUCCAAAACCAUCUUUACUAGUCGUGCCUUAGACCUAUGUUUUUGAAGAUGAUCGGAAAAGUGUCCUUCUAGCUCGAUUGCAUGGGCUGGUUUUUAUAUAACAGGGUUGCCUGGCCAUGUGGUAGGCUGGUCAGUCAUUUUCCUGCCUUUUACAAGAAUACAAAAAUGCCUUUUGACUAAUAGGCAAAGGCAGUCAGCUUUCCAUCAAGCGUUUGGUGUGUUAUUAGUUCACCUCGUCAGGUAUUCUUCUUGGAGGGUAGCACGUUGGGGAUGUACUGCUUUUUGGCACCUCCAGUUUUAUUAAUAUUAUUCAGUUGUGUGUAAUGGUUUUGAUCCGUUAAUUGUAUUUCUUCUGUUCUCUAUCCAUGAAUGCAUUAGUGGCUUGCUUAAUUAAUAACAAACCUUUGAAAAAUGAGGUUACUGAUGUUGUCAAAGGAUACACAUAAUUGUAUUUAGACACAUGGCAGAGUGAUCCCUGUAUAAGAAACAAAAUAAGGAAUAUGGGAGUUUAUAGAGAUACGACACCUCGUACACUACUACAUCUCAUCUUCAUCAACCCUAGACCUUUAUCACCUUUUAACAUGUCGGCAUGCUGCAUGCCACUUCUAAUUUUGUUGGUGAAUAAAGCGUAUGUGAUUCUAUUGGAUGAUUAGCUUCUUAUUGUCAAAAAGGCGCAAAAAAUAUCUUACAGUAAGCAAAAAAGAUUAUCGACAGGCUGCCAUGCAUAUCAUAUGCUUAAAACAUUCUUGUCCUUAUUCAAAUUCAGUCACUUUCCUUAAUCUUUCAUCAAUCUAAUUUCUUCCUUAAGUGCUAUUCCAACAACCCUAUCUUAUCUUAAAUUUAGAGACAUUUAUAUAAUUUGAAAUUUUAAAAAGGCUUUUUUUUAAAAAUAAAUAUUUAUAUAAUUUUAAAAUUUUGUGAGAAAACAAAUGAGAUAUUUUCAUUAUUUUGGUCUUUGCAAUCACCCACUAUCUUUAUUUAUUUCCCAUAUUAUAAAAAAUUGAAAAGAUAAAAUAAAGAAAAUAAAUACAGAAAGUCUUCAAAGAACAGAUUACUUUGUUGUACCAUUUAAAAGUAAGAGUCUAACCUUGAUCCAUCUUUAUAUAUGUAAAUUAAAAUUCUAAAUAUAAUUUAGGUGGUGAUAAAUUUUAUUUCAAAUUUAAAAACUUAGGAGUAUUUACAAAUGUUCAUCAUAAAAUAAAAGAAAAAUAAAAGGAAAGUAAAGAGGCAAGAUGGAGAUGGGGAAAAAAAUUAGGGAAAAUAAUAAUAAUAAUAAUAAUAAUAAUAAUAAUAAUAAUAAUAAUAAUUAAAUAGACAUAGGAAAAUAAUUUUUAGAGUUUUAGUUUAAAUAAAUAAUUGAAAAAAAUGGAUUAUAAAUAUAAUUGAUAAUAAGAGUUUUAUAUAAAUUGGCAAUUUCCUAUAGAUGAAAAUAAUAUUACUUAUAUAGAAAAUUAGGAAUUAGAGUAUUAAUAAUUACAUCAAAGAGAAUAAUAUUAAUGCAAAUGGUAUCAAGAACGUCAAAUACUAAUUUUUAAUUUUUGAUAAAUAGCCGAUUGAAAUAAUUAUUCUUUGAACUAUGUUAUGUUAUGUGUGGAUUAAGUUCUUUAUGAUCAAGUAAUGUUUUUAUGAAAUGUAUUAUGAUUUUAAAUUGGGAAUUUCGAUCAUAUGAUUUAUUGAUCAUUGUGUAAGUGGAUUUUAGUUUAUAAUUUAUUAUAAUGACUUUGAAAUUUUGAUUAUUAGUGGUCUUGCUCAAUAGAGUAUAAAUUAUUAACCUUCGUUACCCUUGAUAGGGGGUAGUGAUGCUAUGCAAUCCUAACCAAUAAGAUGCUAUUAACCUUUGGUAUGCUAUUGAUUGAAUGUUGAUGGGGGAACAAAAUGAAGCUACCCAUCUAGUGCAAAUUCCAUUAUUUGGUUAUAGUGUUAUUAUCAGCGAAAUAGAGUAAAAUAUUUAUUUAUAAAAUCAUUUUGAACAUGAACUUCUACUAUUAAGUGUAUUAUAUUGUUUUAUACUUUUUGAAGUGUCAAUUUUUUUUCAAAAAAAAAAUGUAAACUUAAUUAUUAAAUUAAAUGAGUAGAUUUUUCUUAUUGACUUAUUUUUUCUUAUCGUGUUAAAUAUCGAAUUCACUCUUUUUUUAUAAUUCCACUUUUCAAUUACAAGUGAUGCCAAUGAAGAGAGAUUGUAAUAUAAUUAAGAGUGUUUUUAUUAUAAACAGUUUUGAAAUAGAUAUUGUUUAUGAUUAUUAACUUAAGACUAAUUGUAGUUGUAACUUCUAAAAAUUAAAUUUUAUAGAAUCAUUGAAGUCAUCGUUGAGAUAUUUUAAUUAUUUUUGGUUUUGCUAGUCAACUUAAUUUAUGUAUUAAGUUAUUGGAUUUGACAUGUGAAAUGGCUGUGAUGCUCUUAGCCUUCGGGUUCGAGGUAUCAGAGCCAUUGUCAUCACUUCACGGCCUUCCAACUGGGUAGGCUUGCUCGAAGUCACACCCUCAAAUCACUAGCAUGAAAGCUAGCUUUUACCUUGUUAGGUGAACCGGCUUAGGAAACUGUAAACUGAGAUCCAAUCAAUAAGCAAGAAGUUCAAUUAUUGAAGUUCUUAUUCAUUUGAGUGCUCUUCGACUACUUUAUGUAAAAAAUUUCAUGAAAGGGCCAAGAGGAUAUACAUAUGAUCAGGCAUGGAUGAUGCUUGGUGAUCCCAUACAGUACUCUCACGUGAUAUACGGGCCAAGGAUUAACGAGUAUUCUUGUAGUAAUAACGUUAAGAUAUGAACCCUAAUGGAAAUACUAACUAGAACACGCACGAAAGUAUUAAGCUAUGGUAUCCAUUAGCAUUGGCCAUUAGUUGAAGGUUGCAGUCCUCUAUAGAUCUCCAUUAAUGAUUCUUUUGUGUUAAAUUUAUAAAUGUUUUCUCCAUACUUUUGUGUCAUAUUGGUGGACCCUGGAAGAUCCGUCCUUACAACCAGCCAUAUCAGUAAGACAUUUUUAUUGGGUUUCUGGUAAAUAAAUAUUAGCAUAAAUUGGAAGGCGGUGGCUGUCCAUUUCUGCAGUGAUACACCAUUGUCUUUUUUAAGCUUUUAGUAUUUAAUAAAAUAUUCAAGCUUUUGUAAAUGGUUGAAUAACACUAUCAACAUGUGAUUCACAUGAGUUUAAUAUGUGAUUUCAACCAUGGCCAAUCAUGGGCAACCUAAACCUCAUUGGCCAUCUCCCCCACCGGUCCCUCCACAAACUGUCCCAAAAAUAUGGACAAAUAAUGGAGCUUCGAUUUGGGUCUUUCCCAGUUGUAGUGGCCUCAUCUUCAGAAAUGGAAAAGCAAUUCUUAAAGACAAACGAUCACCUCUUUGCCUCCAGGCCUCACACUGCUGCCGGAAAGUACACUAAUUAUAACUACUCCAACAUCACCUGGGCUCCUUACGGUCCAUACUGGCGCCAAGGGCGUAAAAUCUUCCUCACAGAGAUGUUCAGCUCGAAAAGGCUCGAGUCUUAUGAGUACAUUCGGGUUGAAGAAAGGCAGGCUUUCAUCUCCCGCCUCUACGCAUUGUCAGGAAAGCCAGUCAUGCUUAAAGAACAUCUCUCUCGCGUUACUCUCAGCGUUAUAAGCAGAAUUGUACUGGGGGAGAAGUACUUCAGUGAGU
This 11718-nucleotide long non-coding RNA is filed under the name Vitis vinifera (wine grape). Its description in RNAcentral is "long non-coding RNA (VVIN_LNC003365)". Lineage: Eukaryota; Viridiplantae; Streptophyta; Magnoliopsida; Vitales; Vitaceae. The record is from RNAcentral.